UUUAUUUUGUACAUAAAUUAAGUUUCGUCAUUUUGAUUUUAUGGCAAUUAUCGCAAGACUUGCGAUGUGGUAAGGUGGUUCCUGCCCAGUCACGGACAGACACUCGAACGCAAGACAUAUAGGAAGAGCAGCAGCUAAAAGGACUGUUCGCUAUCUGUUGAAGAUCCCAAAAGUGUAUUUUUUUGUUGCCCAAGACCUCCGAAGUGGCAGGCGGCAAUGAGGUUAGCGUUAGCCAACAUUUUUGUAUUAGCCUCGUAUAUUGUUUCUGUAUUGUAAAUUGCUGAAUGUAUUUUAUUUUACCAACAGUUUUCACGGUGCUGGUGUAAGAGGGCAACCCUAAAGACACUAU
This is a long non-coding RNA of Hippocampus comes (tiger tail seahorse), 349 nucleotides long. RefSeq lists it as uncharacterized. The transcript has 2 exons. NCBI's taxonomy places the organism in Eukaryota, Metazoa, Chordata, Actinopteri, Syngnathiformes, Syngnathidae. The record is from RefSeq and is a predicted model, not a curated record.